AGUAACGCGUGAGGAACCUGCCUUCCAGAGGGGGACAACAGUUGGAAACGACUGCUAAUACCGCAUGAUACGUUGGAGCCGCAUGACUCCGACGUCAAAGAUUUAUCGCUGGAAGAUGGCCUCGCGUCUGAUUAGCUAGUUGGUGAGGUAACGGCCCACCAAGGCGACGAUCAGUAGCCGGACUGAGAGGUUGGCCGGCCACAUUGGGACUGAGAUACGGCCCAGACUCCUACGGAAGGCAGCAG
Molecule: ribosomal RNA, 245 nt
Filed under: uncultured bacterium
Lineage: Bacteria
Description: partial 16S ribosomal RNA
Rfam family: Bacterial small subunit ribosomal RNA
Source: RNAcentral